GGAUGUGAGGGCAAACUGGCUGUGACAUCAUUAAUUAUACUCACCACCAGGCUUGAUCUGGCUGGUCUGGCUGACUAGAGAGAUGUUCCAUUCCUCCCCCACUGUUUCAUGUGCAUUCCUCAUGAUGCUGUACACUCAGUGGNCAAGGACCACAUUCCCCAAACAGAGGAGGACCCUCCCAGAAUUGAGGAGCACCCCCAUCUUCAUUAAAGGUAUAGGAGAGGUAGUGAUCCCGUUAGAACCUCCAAACAAGUUCUCAAUAAAUAGAUUUGUAAGACAUCUGGUAUAUUGUAGACUUUUAGUUAGGAGCAGUAUAUUGCUAACU
This 325-nucleotide small nuclear RNA is filed under the name Neotoma lepida (desert woodrat). RNAcentral describes it as "7SK RNA". It matches the Rfam family "7SK RNA". Rfam says of the family: 7SK was discovered as an abundant small nuclear RNA in the mid-70s but a possible function has only recently been suggested. Two independent studies have found that 7SK RNA binds the CDK9/cyclin T complex (known as elongation factor P-TEFb). P-TEFb activates transcription by phosphorylating the C-terminal domain of RNA polymerase II. The record is from Rfam by way of RNAcentral. Lineage: Eukaryota; Metazoa; Chordata; Mammalia; Rodentia; Cricetidae.